CACACCCACUUAGUUAUUCCAAGGACUUCCGGAGGUGGAGCCUGGGGCUGACACACCUUUGGCAUGGCCCACGCCAGGGAAAUGCUGGAGGUCUUACUUUCCUGUUAACUGGUUUCCCAGAAGCUCCAUUUCCUAAAAACAAAUGUAUUCAGAAAAGGGAACUUGGGAGGGGAAACCUGGAAUGCCCCCAGAUCCAAUCCGGAACCAGGUUCCCCAGAGCCCUUUCCCACCCCGAGAUAAACAAAGCCUCUGCCGGACUACUGCCUCUGCAACACUAAACAGCCUCCCCAGGGAAGACGGAUCUGGCUACAGGUUCACCAUGAAAUUCUUUACCAUCCUGCUGCUGGCCACCUGAGCCUCCACCUCUCUCGCCAUCCUUAAUGAGCCAGAAGAUGAGAUCCACUUGCAGGCUCAACGCAUAAAUGCCCGUAAGUCUCAUGUUGGCAUCCUUUAGAGGGAGUUGGUGGUAGUGAAAGAUGGUCCAGUAAAUGAUGAAUUCUCCACCUGAGGAAGAAGUGGAGCAGAGACCAUCCCUCCUGGCGCUGGACCUUAAUCCUUCCUGCUGCACUAAUUGGCCAAGAUCUGGGGGCCGGGAACAAUUUGAACAGCACUUCAUGCUGGGUAGUCAUUGAAGAUGACUAUAUCUCAUACCCAAAUGUUAGCAGCUGCUCAGCUGAUAUCUGAAAAGGACCAUGUCUCCAUUGAAAACCUUUCUGAGGAAUCUCUCAUCUCCAGAGAAGAGCUGGUUUUUGAAGAGGAUGAUAUGACCAAAUCUACCAGGAGACCAAAGCGUCAAAGGCCCGAGCUGCUUCACCCCAUCCCCCAGGAGGACAGUAUCAGAAAUGCUGCCUCUCAGUCAGAAGAGACUACAGAACUCACUCCCAGGGCUGGUAGGAGCCAGGGCCAAGGGGAAGAAGCCGGGAGGGAGGCAUUAAACAGAAAAACGCAGUGGCCGGACACUACCUUGGGGGAGAAAGUUGGGGAUGGAAAGAGAAAGGAAGCUGAAGGGGAGCAAAAAUUAAAGCAACCACCUCAGAGGGAAAACUGGCCAAGCUCGGCCAUAAAAUCGGGAAGAAUGUGGACAAAACAGUAAAAGAAACCAUGAGCUAUCUGAAAAAACCUACUCCCUCAUGCCUAUGAAGUCAUAAGGCCCUAAUGAUAAUAAGGCCCAGUCCCGGCCAAAGCUGGUGUCUACAGCACCCAAACCCUCCUUGCCCUGACCACCAUCUCUCAGCUCCCCACGUCCCUUAUUAAAGCGUUGCAUCCCAGUCUGGCUCUGUGGUGGCUUUGUCGGGCCAGGAGGCAAGGCGGAGGCCCCCACUCCACUAGGAUUCUUCCUGAGUUACCCCAUCGCUCUAAUUUUAAACCUCCCCUCCUCAGCUUACAACCUGUUCAAGUCUCCACGUCCCAAAAUAUCCUCUGUGAGGUCUUGACUCCCCUCAAGCUGCCCCUCCUCUUCAUCCACACUGCCUCCCUGCUCCCUCACCCCCUGCACCCCUCACCCCCUGCAAUCUACAUUUUCACACCCUCCAGCAACUGCUCCCCCCAACAUCACUGACGGCAACAAGCCCAGUGGCUAUUUCUGGUCCCUACUCCUCUCUUCAUGGUCUCUGCAGAACUGGACACGAUUACCCCUCCUAGAAAGUUUCCCCGCACUGACCUCCCAACGUGCUGCACUCUACUGGUUCUCCAAGCCCCCCAUUUCCUUCCUGGCACAUUUUCUGACCAUGCACUCUAUGCUCCCAGGGUCCCAUCCUGUGCCCUCUCAUCUUCUCUCCACCUUCCUUCCUCUACAUCCCCAUUUGCCAAGACUUCAGCUUCACCUCAGGGUGGAUGGGGUCCCAUUUACCCACCACCACACAACCACCCAGUGUCUACUAUAUGUCACACUCAUCUACCUAAUAUGUGCCAAAUUA
This is a long non-coding RNA of Panthera uncia (snow leopard), 1916 nucleotides long. RefSeq lists it as uncharacterized. The record is from RefSeq and is a predicted model, not a curated record. Lineage: Eukaryota; Metazoa; Chordata; Mammalia; Carnivora; Felidae. The transcript is spliced from 4 exons.